GGGAGCGGAGGGGUCCCGGUGGACUUCGCGGACUUCAAAUCCGUCGGGGGGCAUCACGCCCCCGGUGGGUUCGACUCCCAUGCGCUCCCGCCA
RNAcentral lists this transfer RNA (93 nucleotides) under Chloroflexota bacterium. RNAcentral describes it as "Chloroflexi bacterium (groundwater metagenome) tRNA-Sec". It matches the Rfam family "Selenocysteine transfer RNA". Lineage: Bacteria; Bacillati; Chloroflexota. The record is from RNAcentral.